This 253-nucleotide ribosomal RNA is filed under the name uncultured bacterium. RNAcentral's name for it is "partial 16S ribosomal RNA". It matches the Rfam family "Bacterial small subunit ribosomal RNA", at positions 524 to 776 of the family's 1533-position model. The record is from RNAcentral.
UACAGAGGUCCCAAGCGUUGUUCGGAUUCACUGGGCGUAAAGGGUGCGUAGGUGGCGGGGUAAGUCGGAUGUGAAAGCUCGGAGCUCAACUCCGAAAUUGCAUUGGAAACUACCUUGCUCGAGGGUUGGAGGGGGGACUGGAAUGCUUGGUGUAGCAGUGAAAUGCGUAGAUAUCAAGCGGAACACCAGUGGCGAAGGCGAGUCCCUGGACAACUCCUGACACUGAGGCACGAAAGCUAGGGGAGCAAACAGG